AUGAAUAGUAUGUGUUCUACUGAAGAAAAGAAAAGAAAGGAAAACAUGAAUAGUAUGUGUUUUGCUGAAGAAACGAAAAGAAAAGAAAACAUGAAUAGUAUGUGUUUUGCUGAAGAAAAGAAAAGAAAAGAAAACAUCAAGUACGUGUGUGAUGUAGCAGAGCACCUACUUGUGUGGUCCACUGAAUUAUGUCUCAACUUGGUUGGUGGUCAGUCACCACCUUCACAAGAAAAGAAAAAGUGCUCCACCACAAUAUCACAUCAUCAUGCAUUUCGGCACGUGCCAUCCAAAGCGAUCGGUGUGGUAGGAGGGAGGAGUACCACUUACUCAUUUGCUACCCGUCCAUCGGAUAAGCCAUCCCCAAUAAUUACUUUGUGCUCAAUUUUUUCUUUCACUUUGUGGUCAAGAAAAUUUACUAAAACGUUUGGCCAGUCAAUCAAUCCAUCCCCAAUAAUUAACCCCUUGAGCCACCAACCCAAGAUUGGAGAUCACUCUCCUGAUUCGAUUCACGUGCCUCUGCCAUACAAAAUCUGA
RNAcentral lists this ribosomal RNA (534 nucleotides) under Triticum aestivum (bread wheat). RNAcentral describes it as "partial small subunit ribosomal RNA". The record is from RNAcentral. Lineage: Eukaryota; Viridiplantae; Streptophyta; Magnoliopsida; Poales; Poaceae.